RNAcentral lists this ribosomal RNA (671 nucleotides) under uncultured bacterium RSa20. Its description in RNAcentral is "bacterial SSU rRNA". It matches the Rfam family "Bacterial small subunit ribosomal RNA", at positions 90 to 747 of the family's 1533-position model. Lineage: Bacteria; Bacillati; Bacillota; Bacilli; Caryophanales; Bacillaceae. The record is from RNAcentral.
UGUUAGCGGCGGACGGGUGAGUAACACGUGGGCCACCUGCCUGUAAGACUGGGAUAACUUCGGGAAACCGGAGCUAAUACCGGAUAAUCCUUUUCCUCUCAUGAGGAAAAGCUGAAAGAUGGUUUCGGCUGUCACUUACAGAUGGGCCCGCGGCGCAUUAGCUAGUUGGUGAGGUAACGGCUCACCAAGGCGACGAUGCGUAGCCGACCUGAGAGGGUGAUCGGCCACACUGGGACUGAGACACGGCCCAGACUCCUACGGGAGGCAGCAGUAGGGAAUCUUCCACAAUGGACGAAAGUCUGAUGGAGCAACGCCGCGUGAGCGAUGAAGGCCUUCGGGUCGUAAAGCUCUGUUGUUAGGGAAGAAUAAGUACCGGAGUAACUGCCGGUACCUUGACGGUACCUAACCAGAAAGCCACGGCUAACUACGUGCCAGCAGCCGCGGUAAUACGUAGGUGGCAAGCGUUGUCCGGAAUUAUUGGGCGUAAAGCGCGCGCAGGCGGUCCUUUAAGUCUGAUGUGAAAGCCCACGGCUCAACUGUGGAGGGUCAUUGGAAACUGUGGGACUUGAGUACAGAAGAGGAAAGCGGAAUUCCACGUGUAGCGGUGAAAUGCGUAGAGAUGUGGAGGAACACCANUGGCGAAGGCGGCUUUCUGGUCUGUAACUGACGCU